RNAcentral lists this small RNA (107 nucleotides) under Flavobacterium sp. RNAcentral's name for it is "6S RNA". It matches the Rfam family "6S-Flavo RNA". The record is from RNAcentral. Lineage: Bacteria; Pseudomonadati; Bacteroidota; Flavobacteriia; Flavobacteriales; Flavobacteriaceae. RNAcentral also lists the same sequence under 1 other name.
ACUCAACACUAACAAUUUAGAAUGAGCAAAUCAUCGCUACUAAAGUAUGCCUCUAUAUCGAGGAAACUUGAACAGUGAGUUAGCUCAAAACUUGUCCUUACGAGUUU